UUACGGUCAGAUCACGUUGAAAAACCGGUUCCUGUACGAUCACCAAAGUUAAGCAAUGUCGAUUCUGGUCAGUACCUAGUUGGGUGACCGCUUGGGAAUAGCAGAUACUGGA
Molecule: non-coding RNA, 112 nt
Organism: Acanthosepion pharaonis
Lineage: Eukaryota; Metazoa; Mollusca; Cephalopoda; Sepiida; Sepiidae
Source: the annotation of a GenBank genome assembly